CUGCAGUCAGUUAAGUGGACUGGGUUCCUUUGCUAAUGGCUGCCCAGACUGUGAUGACUGCCAAUAGCAAUCUCUUGGUUAGUGUAUGCAACCUGUGCUGGUGUGGCCUGCCGUGAGGGACCUCGAAGACACUG
Small nucleolar RNA from Cavia aperea (Brazilian guinea pig), 134 nucleotides. Its record names the gene SNORA70. It matches the Rfam family "Small nucleolar RNA SNORA70". From Rfam's summary of the family: snoRNA U70 seems to be exclusive to mammals and is a member of the H/ACA class of snoRNA which contain H (ANANNA) and ACA box motifs. H/ACA box snoRNAs are involved in the conversion of uridines to pseudouridines (5-ribosyluracil) a constituent of structural RNAs (transfer, ribosomal, small nuclear, and small nucleolar). The record is from Ensembl. Lineage: Eukaryota; Metazoa; Chordata; Mammalia; Rodentia; Caviidae.